UGGGCGUUAUAAUCUCCUACGACAACAAACGGUUCUGAAAGUGGGGGAGUCAGCUCCUCGAGUUCUUGUAGUGUCAAUUGUUCGUUGAGGGAAAUGUAAAUGGUGCAAAUGGUUAUGGUUUCGUGCACUAUACAGUCGAACCCCGCUACAACGAACGCCGCUUCAACGAAACUCCUGCUACAACGAAAAAUUCACGGUUCCCCUGGUUCAUCUGGUUGCUAGGAGAUGAUAUCGCAUUGCGUUGGCCAGAGCGCAGGGACAUCGUCAGCUGACCGAGCCGGAAAGCGAUACAUCUGAUUGCAUGGGCUAAAAAGCUGCGAUGCCCUCGAUAAAACGGGAAGGAACCAGGCAUCAGCUUCCACAGGUUGCCCAAAGAUUCCCAUCGAAGGAGGCUAUGAAUCGAGGCCAUUGGACUCAGCCAACGCAACUGGGAACCAACGAAAUGGUCUUUUAUGUGCUCAAAACACUUCCCACCUGAGCACUUCAAUGGAACGGUGUCAGUGGCAGUUCCCUUUUGCGAGGAUGCCGUUCCUACUGCCGUGAGAAACGGCAACGAGACGCGCGCUGCAGAUUCAAAUGCCCAACCUUUAAUGGAGAGACAUGCAAAUCGACUGCAUGGUUAUAUACACCGGUAUAUUGCCCAGGUGAAUGUACAGGAAAUGGAACAAAGUUUUAUUGAGUGCAAGCAUUGCUUUUGAGCAUUUCAAAUAAACUUCCAGUUACGUGCCUCAAGCCUAUUGAGCUAAAUGCAAGAAACUGUGCAACUCGAAA
This is a long non-coding RNA of Rhipicephalus microplus (southern cattle tick), 771 nucleotides long. Lineage: Eukaryota; Metazoa; Arthropoda; Arachnida; Ixodida; Ixodidae. The record is from RefSeq and is a predicted model, not a curated record.